AUACGUAGGGUGCAAGCGUUAAUCGGAAAACUGGGCGUAAAGCGUGCGCAGGCGGUUUUGUAAGACAGUGGUGAAAUCCCCGGGCUCAACCUGGGAACUGCCAUUGUGACUGCAAGGCUGGAGUGCGGCAGAGGGGGAUGGGAUUCCGCGUGUAGCAGGGAAAUGCGUAGAUAUGCGGAGGAACACCGAUGGCGAAGGCAAUCCCCUGGGCCUGCACUGACGCUCAUGCACGAAAGCGUGGGGAGCAAACAGGAUUAGAUACCCUGGUAGUCCACGCCCUAAACGAUGUCAACUGGUUGUUGGGGAUUUAUUUUCUCAGUAACGAAGCUAACGCGUGAAGUUGACCGCCUGGGGAGUACGGCCGCAAGGUUAAAACUCAAAUGAAUUGACGGGG
Molecule: ribosomal RNA, 394 nt
Filed under: uncultured bacterium
Lineage: Bacteria
Description: partial 16S ribosomal RNA
Rfam family: Bacterial small subunit ribosomal RNA
Source: RNAcentral